AUGGCUGCGAUUCAUCUUCAGGAUAAUUGGGGGCAGAGAACAGAAAAUGCCCGAGCUGGUUUAAUCAGGAAGAGAGUGCUGAUGGGAAGGACACAGGGAGAGCUUGGGGAACCUGUGGAUCUGGGGAUCGCCUGGCCUCAGUGGGUCUGCAGUCCCUGA
This 159-nucleotide long non-coding RNA is filed under the name Fukomys damarensis (Damara mole-rat). RNAcentral describes it as "lncRNA (ENSFDAG00000025076.1)". The record is from RNAcentral. Lineage: Eukaryota; Metazoa; Chordata; Mammalia; Rodentia; Bathyergidae.